GCCCAGCUGGCUCGGUCAGUAGAGCGUGGAACUCUUAAUUUCAGGGUCUUGAGUUCAAGCCCCACACUGGGCG
This 73-nucleotide transfer RNA is filed under the name Ailuropoda melanoleuca (giant panda). It matches the Rfam family "tRNA". From Rfam's summary of the family: Transfer RNA (tRNA) molecules are approximately 80 nucleotides in length. Their secondary structure includes four short double-helical elements and three loops (D, anti-codon, and T loops). Further hydrogen bonds mediate the characteristic L-shaped molecular structure. tRNAs have two regions of fundamental functional importance: the anti-codon, which is responsible for specific mRNA codon recognition, and the 3' end, to which the tRNAs corresponding amino acid is attached (by aminoacyl-tRNA synthetases). tRNAs cope with the degeneracy of the genetic code in two manners: having more than one tRNA (with a specific anti-codon) for a particular amino acid; and 'wobble' base-pairing, i.e. permitting non-standard base-pairing at the 3rd anti-codon position. The record is from Rfam by way of RNAcentral. Lineage: Eukaryota; Metazoa; Chordata; Mammalia; Carnivora; Ursidae.